Long non-coding RNA from Amblyraja radiata (thorny skate), 132 nucleotides. RefSeq lists it as uncharacterized. NCBI's taxonomy places the organism in Eukaryota, Metazoa, Chordata, Chondrichthyes, Rajiformes, Rajidae. The transcript is spliced from 2 exons. The record is from RefSeq and is a predicted model, not a curated record.
CAGGCAGAGGAAAUAGACACAAAAUGCUGGAGUAACUCAGCGGGACAGGCAGCAUCUCUGGAUUGAAGGAAUGGGUGACGUUUUGGGUGGAGUCCCUUCCUCAGGGGAGAGGCAGUCUAGAGAUAUGGAAAG